GACUUGUGAUGCAUGUUGGCGUCCUGCCUGUGAUGGGUGGGGUUGCGGCUGCUGUUGGGUUGUGGGGUAUCACGUGUGUGGUGGCCUGUGCGGUGCUGUGUUGCGUGUGUGCGUGCGGGGGUGGGCGUGUGGUGGUUGUUAGAAAACUGAUGCAUGUAUGCAACUUUAUUGAUCGAUGUGUGUGUUCGACCUGCCGUCGUUUGUGGAUGUUUGUUGAGUGCGAUGGAUGCCUUGGUUGCCACAACCAACCAAUGACGUUUUUUCCUGCCAGCUAUCAUGCCUAGUUGGUUGGCGAGCUAUCUGCGGGCCGUGUGUGACCGAGGGGACCUGCCUGGUCCGUACUAAUGUCCGGUCGCCGUGCCCGGCCUGAAUGUGGGUGGGGGUGGUAGCGCACGCAAGUAAAUCAUCUUUCUUCCCGCCCGAAGAAAAAAAAAAUGUGUUUCCUUGAGUGACUGCCAGCGAUCAAACAAACGCGGCGAACAAAAAAAGUAAAAAACGAUACCCAAAGUAGCGGCGAGCGAACACACAAAACAAUCUUUUCGUUUUCCGU
This 550-nucleotide unclassified non-coding RNA is filed under the name Cutibacterium acnes. Its description in RNAcentral is "contains 16S-23S intergenic spacer region". Lineage: Bacteria; Bacillati; Actinomycetota; Actinomycetes; Propionibacteriales; Propionibacteriaceae. The record is from RNAcentral.